UGUCCUUCCCAACCCUAUAGGAAUCCAAAAACUCAAAAAAGAAGAAAUAGAAAAACCCACCAUAACCUCCUCCGGUGCUCGUCCCUAAUGAUGUCCGCCGCCAGAUGUUUCCUUCGCUCCGCCGCUUCUCGCGCAAAUCUGGCUGCCGGAGCCAAACCUAGACCUACAUGCUCAAUGUUUCGGAUCCCAAAACAAACCUCAAUUUCCAAUCGCAUUUCAAGAUUGCCGGUGGAGAUGAGUUCCGGCGUGGAGUCGUUGCUUCCAUAUCACACUGCAACAGCUUCUGCAUUGCUCACUUCAAUGCUUUCAGUUUCUCGCCACUCUUACGGCUGGACUCCGGAAGAUUGCAAUGAUGAUGUAUGAUGAAUGACAAGAGGGUUCGGGCAAAGUUUUAUGUAGGUGCGCUCUGAAUAAGGCUCGUGAUCACAUUUUGGGGCUUGGGGACUACCCAUAUGAAUGUUUGCUGUUAUUCGGUGCGGUUCAUUGCGCGUACUUUCUGUGGAUUUCAGUUUACUUUGUUAGGCCUUCUUAGCGGAUUCUCAUAGGUUGAAUGUAAAAUCUCAAGAAUUAAAUUGUACAAGCAUCCAAAGCUGGUGGCAUGCUUAGGUAUGAUUGUUAUUUUAUUUAAUCACCACUGCAACAUUUCUUCCCUGCAAGUUACAACGAUUUAUUUCACCCUGAUGAUUCAAGAGUUA
Medicago truncatula (barrel medic) is the source of this 695-nucleotide RNA transcript. It is a transcript of the gene named protein NUCLEAR FUSION DEFECTIVE 6, mitochondrial, with no coding region annotated. The transcript is spliced from 5 exons. The record is from RefSeq and is a predicted model, not a curated record. NCBI's taxonomy places the organism in Eukaryota, Viridiplantae, Streptophyta, Magnoliopsida, Fabales, Fabaceae.